Vollenhovia emeryi is the source of this 3014-nucleotide long non-coding RNA. RefSeq lists it as uncharacterized. NCBI's taxonomy places the organism in Eukaryota, Metazoa, Arthropoda, Insecta, Hymenoptera, Formicidae. The transcript has 2 exons. The record is from RefSeq and is a predicted model, not a curated record.
UUCCCUGUUCCUGUUGCCUGUUGCCUGGCAUUGUGUGAUAGGCUUUACGCAUGCAAAUUUGUAUGCGAUUUGCCCGAGUUUUGUCCGUAAGAUAUGUUCAGUCUGUGCUUUUGCACGCAAGUGGCUAGCUCGUGUAUCAACGUAUAAUUUUGCGCGCAAAUAUCUAUCGACUCGCGUACAAAAAUGGCUCAACAACGCAAGCAAAAUUCCAUCCAAGUGCGUCGUCGUAAUGCCAGAUGUUUCCGCGCAAAAUGUUUUCUGGGAAGUCACUGAAACACAAUCGGUUCUACUAAAAGUAAAACCGCGUGGAUAAUUACAAUGCUCCAUACAAGACAUUUUAUUUGCGAGUGUGAUUUAAUAAAAGAUCGAAGAAAUGAAUCGCGAACUUGUCACUCUCCUGUUGCAAAAUAUAUUUUCAGGAAACUUUAAAGAGUAAGUAGUGACAAUACAGAGUAAAUAAAUGUAAUACAUUCUUAAUUAUCAGACGAAUCACCAGUUUAACAUUAAUCGAUAGUCAAAUCUGUCAAAACAGAUUUUGUAAAACGUCUUUAACUAUAAAUAAUACUUUACGAGUAGAACGCCAGCGGAAAUGUAACUGCUAACAGAAUAUACGAUAGGAGAUUGAUUACAGAACCAAGAACACACACACAUACACACACACAAAUACACAUGCGUUUUCCGCAGCUAAAGAGUUACGAAAUUAAGAUAUCGUGAUAAAUAAAUAUGUACUGUUUGCUUCUCUGAGAAAUGUGAAAGAAAGUCUUAGGAUUCCUUCUAUGGUUUUCAAUUGAUACUGUUGAUACUUCCGGCCAUCUUUACAUAAGCCUCGCUUCUUUUCAGUAGAUACAUAUCUCGGAUUUAUGUUGACAAAACGACGUUAUUAUUUUUUAUGCGACGUAAAAUUAUGACAUUAAAAAUUGUGUUCAUGUCGGAAUGAGAAAUAGAAGAUUUUCAUCGCUUAUCCACGAAUGUGUGUUACUCGGUGAUGCACAAAUUUGCGACUUAAGCAAAUUUGUGUUGGGGUAGUACAAUGCAAUGGCAGUGAAGCGAAACGAGACGAAUAUUUCGUGCUUUACUUAUGAAACUGGAAAAUACUUUGAUUUCGAUCUGUACAUAGAAUAUCUGUUAGCGUGUGUACAUCGAAAUUGUUUGGUUUCACCGAUAUACAUAUAAUGUUCCAUCCAAGCAAAUCGAUCAGGAGAGAAGGAGUUAGGACAAUAUCGCGCAAUCGCGUACAAGUAUCGAACAAUGCGGUAGUAACAUAUGCGAGAUACAUGAGCCAAUGCAGAUUCCGUCAAGAGGUAAAACGAUAUAGAUUACAGAAAUUAAUAGGCACAGGUUCGUAACGUAUAGAAAGUUUUCCAUUUAAUUUUCAACAAGCAGACGAGACUAAUAUAAUUACAAAAUACGAGUGCGAACAAUAAAAGCGCAAGAAAGUACUGGAUUAAAGUAUAGUUUACACACGUGCAGCUUCUAUUGGCCAUCUAGUCAGACAAAUCUGUCGAAGAUAGAUUUUGUUUUAAUGCCCGCUAUAAAUUUUGUCGAUACUCAGCAGAAAUGUAACAGAAUCUAUUAGCAGAAUUGAUAGCAAACUCCGAUAAAAAUUUUCAUCAGGGUCUGCUGAUAAACUGCUAGCACAGUGCUAAUAUUUUAUUUACCGAGUAGUUUUAAGUAUCAGCAUACACAAUACUCACGUAUUGUACCAUCGAGAGCAAAGAUACUGUCCUGUUCCGAUGUAAUAAGAUUAAACUGUGCCGAGCUUCCUGUUCGAUGAUCGAUUAACCGGUCAAUUACCAAAAGAAAUUCGGUAAAAGCGCAGUUUUACUUUCUGCACCUGAAUCGAAACAGCAUUUUGCUCGCCACUGUAUUACUGCGCACAAUUAAAGUUAUCGGAAUUAUGUGGAAUUCUUAAUAAUUUUACAAUACGUUUUUAGUGUGAUUUACAUAUUCGCAUACAAAUAAACGUACAUACGUCCACGCAUAUACAAGAUAUAAAUAGAAUAUUUUUCCAAAGUUUCGAUUAAUUGGAAAGUUUGGAAAUGCGCUUAGUUGUCGUUUUCAGGAACAUAGAAAGCAUUUCAUGUUUCAUCUUAUUGUUUAUACAAUAUUGAGAAUCUUUUCUUCGCCAGCGAAUAGUCAAUACAACGGUAAUGGAAACUUAUUCGACGUAUCUGGCAAUAUUUUCUUUAAGAAUAAAGCACAACGUUUCGACCGAGAAUUCCGGUCCUUUUCAAGUAAAAAGUCAGACAAGUGUCAACCAAGUCGGAAUCUGAAUGUUGUGUUUUAUUCUUAAAUAAAGUAUUGCCAGAUACGUCGAAUAAUUUUCCAUUAUCUUUGUAUUAAUUGUUUAUACGUUGUCUUUCGUUUAAUCGUUUGGAGCACAAGUUGUGGUAGAAGAAUCUCUUUUACAGUUAGUUAUUUGUCAAAAUAUUGUACACACACACUCGCGCACACACAUAACAUAUACACACAUACAUGCAUACUUGUUUUAUUUUAAGUGUAAGAGAAACAUGAUGAAAACACCUGCGUGGUGCUCUGUAAACUAUACUUUUACCCCCUAAAAAAGAUUCCGUUUAUUUACAAGAUAUUAAUCCUUCGUCUGAGCUCGUCGAUCUACGACGUCCGAGCCAUAGUAACACAUGGACACGUGUCCUCGUAACAGUAUUCAGAAUUUAUUAAGAAAUAAAAUAUUUAAUAAAUACAUUUUUAUGAAAGUGACUACGACAUCGUCAAUUGUACUUAUUUCAGGCGAUAUUUCGGGCAGUACUUUAAGGCGAGGAAAAUAGCGUCAAACGCGAACAGACCCACGUGUCUACUAAAAAGGUACCGGGAGAACACGUUCAGUCGAAGGAUUAAUAAUAGAAGUUGUUGGAAAGUACUUGAUAAUAGAUUUUAAUUCGAACAUAUAUAAAAGCAGUCACAUACUUUAAUUGUACUAACAUUGUUCAUGUACAUCAUGCAUUGACAUGUAUUUUUUUAUAAAGCCAGAUACGAAUAAAUUCAAGCUUUUACGA